UACAGAGGGUGCAAGCGUUGUUCGGAAUUAUUGGGCGUAAAGAGCUCGUAGGCGGCUUGUCGCGUCGAAUGUGAAAUCUCAGGGCUCAACUCUGACAUUGCAUUCGAUACGGGCAGGCUAGAGUGCGGUAGGGGAGACUGGAAUUCCUGGUGUAGCGGUGGAAUGCGCAGAUAUCAGGAGGAACACCAAUAGCGAAGGCAGCUCGCUGGGACGUUACUGACACUGAGGCGCGAAAGCGUGGGGAGCGAACAGG
This 253-nucleotide ribosomal RNA is filed under the name uncultured bacterium. RNAcentral describes it as "partial 16S ribosomal RNA". It matches the Rfam family "Bacterial small subunit ribosomal RNA", at positions 524 to 776 of the family's 1533-position model. The record is from RNAcentral.